This 465-nucleotide ribosomal RNA is filed under the name uncultured bacterium. RNAcentral describes it as "partial 16S ribosomal RNA". It matches the Rfam family "Bacterial small subunit ribosomal RNA", at positions 28 to 507 of the family's 1533-position model. The record is from RNAcentral.
GAUGAAUGCUGGCGGCGUGCUUAACACAUGCAAGUCGAACGGAAAGGCUCCUGCUUGCAGGGGUACUCGAGUGGCGAACGGGUGAGUAACACGUGGGUGAUCUGCCCUGCACUUCGGGAUAAGCCUGGGAAACUGGGUCUAAUACCGGAUAGGACGAUGGUUUGGAUGCCAUUGUGGAAAGUUUUUCGGUGUGGGAUGAGCUCGCGGCCUAUCAGCUUGUUGGUGGGGUAAUGGCCUACCAAGGCGUCGACGGGUAGCCGGCCUGAGAGGGUGUACGGCCACAUUGGGACUGAGAUACGGCCCAGACUCCUACGGGAGGCAGCAGUGGGGAAUAUUGCACAAUGGGCGCAAGCCUGAUGCAGCGACGCCGCGUGGGGGAUGACGGCCUUCGGGUUGUAAACUCCUUUCGCUAGGGACGAAGCGCAAGUGACGGUACCUGGAGAAGAAGCACCGGCUAACUACGUG